Pezoporus occidentalis (night parrot) is the source of this 5326-nucleotide long non-coding RNA. RefSeq lists it as uncharacterized. The transcript has 5 exons. Lineage: Eukaryota; Metazoa; Chordata; Aves; Psittaciformes; Psittacidae. The record is from RefSeq and is a predicted model, not a curated record.
UUCCAAGAGAAAUUCUUCCCAAGAAGAAAAAUCCCAGUUCGGAUCCACAUGUGGAUUCCAGAUCCCAGGAUCCACUCUGUGCCAUAAUAAGGCUGUGCUAUCAGCUGGGAAACGUGAUGUCAACUGCAACACAGAGUAAAUCCAAGAGCAGAGAAGGAAGUCUCCAUGGCGUCUCUACUGAGUGAGCAGCUGAGGAGACGAAUGACUUUCCCAACUCCUGUUUCUGUUCACAGAACCCAGGGCAGGAUCAUCCAUUCCACGAUGGUGGGAGGUGGUCCCUGCAUGUGAAGGUCAGUCCUGACGAUGUGCUGCGACGCCAGCAGGAGCAUGAAGAGGAAGGUUAGUGACUCCAUACCAGACACGCUCAGGUUGCAGUUAUUUCAGACUGCUCCAACACCUAACAUCCUCUGGAAAUUUAAACUCUGGUCUAUGCCAGCAGACUUUGUGCUCCUGAUUGUACCCUGACAGCCCCAUGGUUCUCAAAACGUUUCCCAUCGCUCAUUAGAGAUGUCUGCAAGACCAAGACAGCUUUGUUUUCCUUACACAUUUGAUUGCUAAUCCAUCUUAAUGAAGUUACACUUCUGAGCUAACAAAUUCAGAUGUCUCACUGAGCAAUCUCAACUGUUGUUUGAGGAUGCCCGUUACACUUUGCUAUAAUGAAACCAGAAAAACUGUCUUAGCAUGGAUACAGUUACUGAUAAACAUACUCCUGCAGCAAUAUAAAUACAUCUCUGAUAGGACACAGCUGUAUCAGAAGGAACCACACUUCCAGUGGACACCAUAGUUCUAACAGCAUUUACCAAGGAGAAGACACCUUUCAUAGAAGACUAAACCAAGGGCAAGCAAAGGGAAAACCAAGUUGCUCAGUCUCAUAAAGUCAUUCAUUUCUGUAGGUAUUUUUAGAUCUUGUGAAUACAUUUUAUAUGCUACAUCAGUCUGUUUAUAUCAGAAUCAAACCAUUCUGGAAUGGGUAGUUCGAACAGAUGAGCUGACCUGAGUUAGUAUUGAAAGAUCGAUCUCCAAGAGGAAUAACUGGCAUUUAUGAAGUGGGAUGUUUAUCUGUUAUUACUAUAAUAAAUAAGACUGCUGCAUCUAACAUACAAGUGACACUGCUCCAGAGGGCAUCAAGAGACAACAUCAGAAACACACGUGAUUUGGAACCAAGCUACACACGUGUGCAGCAGAAACUGGACAACAGUUGAUGGGGUGAUGAACUCCAGAAGAAACCAAGACCUGCAGCCUGCAACGAUCAGAAAAUGUAACUGUAAAAGUCUGGAGACUUGGAAUGCGGAAACUGGUGAAAGAAACAAUUCCACAGACACUGAAAAACCAUCCAGCGCUGAUUGUCCUUUAGCUGGCUGGGGUUUAAUCUGUGAUUUCAGAAGGGUCAGCAUGGGUUGUCUAAAAGCCAGAAGAAACAGAAGGUUACACUGCUAUAUAUUCUCUUUUGAGAUCCCAAGCAGGAGCUGUGCCUGGAUGCGUUCUGCAGUAAUUUACAUGGUAAUAGAUGGUGCCAUUUCUCUGCGAUGAGGUACAACUUUUUUUGUAAGGGGGAAAACGUGUAAACACAUUUUCUCUUCAUCACAUAUGAGAGAAAGCUCUGAGGGGAGAAUAAAACUGUUUUUCCCCUGAGUCAAAGUCAGAGUCAUUUGAGGAAUCAAAUGACUGCGAGUUCCCCUGGUUGCUGUGCAACUUGCGAGCAUCUUAAAAGCGCCUCUUCUCUGCCUAAUAGCUCAUUUCUAAAACCUGCUCGCUGUGUUGUAUCUGAUGUUAGUUCUUCAAAUGGAGAGAAAUUCACACAUCAUGAAAGUGCAGCUUUAAAGACCAGCUUGGCAAAAGGGAAUGGAAACCAUUAAAUGGAACCCAUUAAAUUUUCCAAUCAAGCCCAUCCCAACCUCACUGAAAAAGGCCUAAGGGAAAUUUCAGCAUACCGCAGAAAGAAGCUCUCCCUAAUGUCACAAACCAUCAAAUGCUGUCUUUAUUGAAGAUGGUCCAGAAUGAGAGGCAGAUGUACUGUGCCAGAAGCUCUCUAUUUGUGUAAGAACACGAGCACACAACUUGCAAACAGUGUAUUUCUCUAGUACAUAACAAGAUGGUGUCACGGAUUUUUUCCAAGGACUGCUGCAUUAUCAGAGCCUCCAGUCCCUAUUACAAGUGGCAGCACAAGACAUCAUCCCGCAGACGUGAUGGAGAAUGUUCUGACAGCUGCAUUAAUGACAAGAAAUGCUUCCAAAAGGUGGAACUUAUACUCAGUUCACCUAAGGUAUGAACUAAACAUUCAGUGCUAUGAAUCCUGGGGUAGUGCUGGCGUAACAUUGUCCAGGAUUGUCCCUACGUGUAAACAAAGCCUGUAGAUGCAUUUCUGGGGGAGGCGAUCCAAAGGGCAAGCUCCUCCUUUACCUGUUGAGCAGAACCUGUCCCAGCUGAAGCUACAAUUCACUUAAUGACUAGGAGACAAGAGGCAACUCAGAGUACCUUCUUGUGAGGACAACGCCAUCGUGUCACUGUUCAGUCUCCUGGCUUCUGAAAAUGGCCGUAAGUGUCUCUGCCUUUCCAAGAAGUGAGAUCAGCAACUUCAGUCAUGGUGGUUGGGAAGCACUUUGAGGGUAGAGGCUGCUGCAAUACAAAGUCUGUUAUGUUCCCUCUUUCUUCCUUCAGUCUUGCCAGGGUCUUUGUGUGACAUUUGGCUUGCAGGUGGAUUGUGCUAUUAGAGAAUUUCAUUUUCAAUGCUCACCAAACUCAUUGUCACCUGAUCCUCUACCAAGGGGACCAUUUUCAAGGGAAAGCAGCAGCUGCUGGAGGCAGUGUCUUUUUCUUCCUAUCUAAUCUUCACCGAUAUUUUUAUGUCACCUACAUUCUACUUCUUGGGAAUUAAGUGCUUUCUGCGUGCUGUGCCAUUAAUAUAAAUAUCAAACACAGAAAUUAUGUUCUGCCCCCCCCCCCUCCCCUUAUCUAUGGGGAAAUCCCUUAUCUCUCACAGCCAUAAGUAAUUUAGGAUCAGACACAGAUGGGCUGAGAUGUGAAUGCCUCAGGGAGCAACUGAAAUAGCUCCCUGAUAGACAUCACAGGGGCUGAGCACAGUAUUUCUCUGCAUUUAUUCUGAUUAUCAUGAAGGCUGCCAACAGGCUCUUCUCUUUGGAGUUUGGUGGAGCUCUCUUCUGUACUCUUGCUGCGGAUGGUGAUAGCAAACGCUCUUCAUAGAUGAAUAAGCACUAAUUUGUAACCGCAGAGCCCUGUGUUAAUAAGCAGGACAGAGUUCUUCUAUCAGUCAGCUACAUCAGCUCCCAGUGAGGUUACCACUGAGAGGCAAAUGUGGCAUGGGAGCCAUGAAAUUAACUUUAGUUCCCCUGACACUCAUUUCAAUAGGUUAGAUCUCACCCGCAGCACUGAAUCCCACAGCACCUAAAACAUACCCCCAAGGUUAUGUGUUUGGGGGUAUAUUAUAUGCUGCUGCCUUCUACAACUAAAGCUAUUUUGGCCUUGGAGAGGGAGCUUUCACACGAACUGAACUAUAUUUUGCAGUCUGUGUGACAACGGGGCAACUGCAGUGUCUGAUGUAGUAGCACAAGUAUAUAUUCUAGCUGCACCCAAAAAGCAUGUGAUUUCUGUGAAUCCAAUUCUAUCAUGAAAAGGAGAAAUGCCAUUGCUGGCAAGCACAGCAUGGCGAGGCAGGACUGGGAGCAGCAGGUCUAUACCCCCAUCCAUCCCCGUUUGUGAGCAGGGGGGACAUGCACAGAAGCAUCUGCUCCCCCCCACCAAUACAACUGCAGGUGACUGGGGAGAACACAGCUUUUUUUUGCUUGAUUUUUCAGAAUCAAUUGGCAAGGAUUUCUUUCCUCCCAUGAAGUGAGGAAACUCCUCACUGUCAGUCCUACCCCACGCUUGGGUUUAUCCAUCAGUGCCAAAUCUUAAUGUAUUAACCCACAAAGCUUAAUACACAGCGUCCAACAGCCCAAAACAUGCUCUAACACUUGGCACAACGUUAACAGAUACAUGACCACACCGUGCAAUGAAGUGAUCUGACUUCAGGAGCAUGAAAUGGCAUGCAAAGAAAUGAACUUCUAAAAUCCAUGUUCUCCUUGCGCUCCCAAAUCCUGCAGAUGCUGCUGUUAAGAACCAAGUAGCACAACAUCCAGUGCAAGAGACAAACCACCUGCUUCCAUUUCCUAUCACGGACAGGACCUUCUGAGGAGAAAGGGAAUUGUGGUUGUUACAUCAGUUUGAUGGCUCUUAAAGGAAAUUCCAGUGGGCAGUACUCAAAGAGCUAUGUUUCUAAAUUAGCCCAAGACAGAAAGUAUCUGUGGCCUAAUUCGAUGUGUGCUGCAGAGAGCCAGUAAGCCCUAUGAGACCAGCUAUUCUACAUAAGAAACACCAGCCUCCUCAAGCUUGCAGUGUUGCAAACAGUGAGAUGAAUAAGAAAAUCCUCUUUUGUAGCACAUUUCUUUUUAAAGUUCAACCUUGUUAAUGACUGCAAAGCUAUCUGCAUUCUGCUGCUGAAGUGGGAGCUGCAGAGGGGAAGCACCUAAUGGAUGCUCAUCCUGUUAAUUACUUCUGCAACAGGAAAAGAAGGAAGGAAACCAAGUUGGGGGGGUGGUGGUGGAAGGUGGGGAAAAGGAACCAUAACCCAACACCCUCAUCAGGCACUUCCAAGAGAUGGUAGUUCUUUCUCAGGAAAAUACAGGAUGAAUAUGCUAUCAGACACCCAGCUGCUACUCAGAUGCCUGUUACAACUAAUGAUGCAAAUCCAAAUGGCAGUCAUUCCUGCCAUUAACAAGAUCACUAGCUAAGCCGAAAGAGUCCUUCAAGAAAACCAGGUGCUACCCAAAUUACUCAAUCCCUUUGCUGGUGAAUAAAACAAACUCCAGAUCCUCCACAGAUGAACAUAUGGCUUCAAAUUAUACAGAAUUUUGUCUAAUCUGUUCUCAAAAUAUUUUAAGUGAUGAUGACACAUGAAUCUUAACUAAAGGUCUCCUAUCCAUAACACAUCUCUCGACGGUAGCAGACAUGAACUCAGCUUAAGCACUAGCAAUUGGAAAUUCACCAGUGAUGUGAAUACUGACAAAAAGGAAGACUGAAUAACCUCUAAAAACCAGAAUAACCUCUAAAACCGCAGAGUUUUCACAAAAUCAUGUUGGAUUGGCUUAAAUAUUUAAGUCCCACAUAGUCUAGGACAAAGGCACCCAGGCAAAUACUGGGUAUCUACCCAUGGAAUAAGCAAUUAAGAAAGUAUUUAAGCUUGAAAUUAAAUUCAUUUCUACUCAGAGAGCUUAAACAUGUGUGCAGCUAUAGGUUUUAUUUAUGGCUGUGCAGCAGGAUUUAAGAGCAG